RNAcentral lists this ribosomal RNA (274 nucleotides) under uncultured bacterium. Its description in RNAcentral is "partial 16S ribosomal RNA". It matches the Rfam family "Bacterial small subunit ribosomal RNA", at positions 523 to 796 of the family's 1533-position model. The record is from RNAcentral.
AUACGGAGGGUGCAAGCGUUACUCGGAAUCACUGGGCGUAAAGCGCGCGCAGGCGGCUAUUUAAGUUGGAUGUGAAAGCCUACGGCUCAACCGUAGAACUGCAUCCAAAACUAUUUAGCUAGAGUGUGGGAGAGGAAGAUGGAAUUAGUUGUGUAGGGGUAAAAUCCGUAGAGAUAACUAGGAAUGCCAAAAGCGUAGGCAAUCUUCUGGAACACUACUGACGCUGAGGCGCGAAAGCGUGGGGAGCAAACGGGAUUAGAAACCCUAGUAGUCC